This 814-nucleotide ribosomal RNA is filed under the name Pseudomonas aeruginosa. RNAcentral describes it as "bacterial SSU rRNA". It matches the Rfam family "Bacterial small subunit ribosomal RNA", at positions 61 to 867 of the family's 1533-position model. The record is from RNAcentral. Lineage: Bacteria; Pseudomonadati; Pseudomonadota; Gammaproteobacteria; Pseudomonadales; Pseudomonadaceae.
GUCGAGCGGAUGAAGGGAGCUUGCUCCUGGAUUCAGCGGCGGACGGGUGAGUAAUGCCUAGGAAUCUGCCUGGUAGUGGGGGAUAACGUCCGGAAACGGGCGCUAAUACCGCAUACGUCCUGAGGGAGAAAGUGGGGGAUCUUCGGACCUCACGCUAUCAGAUGAGCCUAGGUCGGAUUAGCUAGUUGGUGGGGUAAAGGCCUACCAAGGCGACGAUCCGUAACUGGUCUGAGAGGAUGAUCAGUCACACUGGAACUGAGACACGGUCCAGACUCCUACGGGAGGCAGCAGUGGGGAAUAUUGGACAAUGGGCGAAAGCCUGAUCCAGCCAUGCCGCGUGUGUGAAGAAGGUCUUCGGAUUGUAAAGCACUUUAAGUUGGGAGGAAGGGCAGUAAGUUAAUACCUUGCUGUUUUGACGUUACCAACAGAAUAAGCACCGGCUAACUUCGUGCCAGCAGCCGCGGUAAUACCAAGGGUGCAAGCGUUAAUCGGAAUUACUGGGCGUAAAGCGCGCGUAAGUGGUUCACCAAGUUGGAUGUGAAAUCCCCGGGCUCAACCUGGGAACUGCAUCCAAAACUACUGAGCUAGAGUACGGUAGAGGGUGGUGGAAUUUCCUGUGUAGCGGUGAAAUGCGUANAUAUAGGAAGGAACACCAGUGGCGAAGCGACCACCCGGACUGAUUCUGAACACUGAGGUGCGAAAGCGUGGGGAGCAAACAAGAUUAGAUACCCUGGUAGUCCCCGCCGGUAAACGAUGUCGACUAGCCCGUUGGGAUCCUUUGAAAUCUUAGUGGCGCAGCUAACGCGAUAAGUCG